GCCCCCACAGCUUGUGGGGCGCCUAUCUUUUCUUGAGGGUCGUGGGCAGCCCUAGGCUAAAGAAGAGGGGGAGGACUGGGAGCCCAGCGGGACGCGCGCUCGGUGAGGAGGAGGAGGGAACCGGCCCGAGGUGUGGAGGGCGCUGACGUGUUUGCUCCGGCACCUCGCAGUGUCACUCCGGACUUCCGAGUGUCGCCCUGCGCCCACCCGGUUUCCUCCACGAUUAGAGAUAGCCUCUAAACAUGAGUAGCAGUCAUGGCUGCAAGCGGCAUUAUCAAGCAAACGGUGCAGAACCAGGAUGCAGAAGGAGGAAAUGGCAUGGCAAUUGAGAAACCUGCAAGUAUUCUGGGGCAAAACAGGGUCCUGCAGAUUUAACCCAUUAAGAUGAUGUGAUGCUGGAUCACUAGGCCCUAAAUCUACUGACUGCUGUCCUUAUAUGAUGAGAGGAUGAAGAGAUACAUAGACAGAGGAAGAAGGACAUGUGAAGAUGGAAGCAGAGAUUGCAGUGAAGUAGCCAUAAGCCAAGAACCGGUGGGAGCCAGUAGGAGCUAGGGAAAGGCAAGGAAAGUUUAUUCCAAAGAGCCUUUAAGAAGCAUAGCCCUGCUGGCAACUUGAUUUCACAUAUCUAGCCUCGAGAACUGGGAGAGAAUAAAUUUCUGUUGUUUUAAGCCACUCAGUUUGUGGUACUUUGCUGUAGCAUCUCUAGGAAUACAACAAAGGGAUCAAGAUCAAAAAUUAUAAAGUGCUACCAGAUUGAAUUUAUUGGUAUGGGCCCACUAAGAUAUUCUACUUUUUUAAAUUAACUUUUAAAAAAAUAUAUUUUUUAUUGACUUUAGAGAGGAAGGAAGAGGGAGAUAUAGAAACAUCAAUGAUGAGAGCAAAUCAUUGAUCGGCUGCUUUCUGCCUGCCCCUCACUGGGGAUCGAGCCCGUAAUCUGGGCAUAACCAGGAAUCAAACCGUGACCUCCUGCUUCAUAAGUCAGUGCUAACUACUGAGCCAGGCUGGCUGGACUAAUAUAUUCUAGAUACAACAUUUUUAGAAAAGCUUAACUGUUUGAUUGGUUGUUUUUUCCUAUCAUGAAUGAUAUGAAACUGGGAAGUUAACACAAGAUGGCUUUGGGGACCCACUGUGAUGUCCUGGUUGCGAUCCUGGAACCAAAAAAGACAUAAGGUUAAAGGAAAUCUGAAUAAACCAUUGACUUUAGUUAAUAAUAAUGACUCAAUAUUGGCUAUUAAGUAUAAAAAUUGUACCAUAUUAAUAUAAGACAUUAAUAAUGGGGGAAACUAAGUGCAAGGUAUAUAGGGACUC
Long non-coding RNA from Myotis daubentonii (Daubenton's bat), 1308 nucleotides. RefSeq lists it as uncharacterized. The record is from RefSeq and is a predicted model, not a curated record. NCBI's taxonomy places the organism in Eukaryota, Metazoa, Chordata, Mammalia, Chiroptera, Vespertilionidae.